GCCUCUAUUUAUUGUUUAUUAGUCAUUUACUUAGUGCCGUAUGACACUUUAAACAGCAGCUGUACCAGCCAGUCACUUGCAUUUUUCUCUGCAUUUACUUGUGUGUGAUUUUAAACGGGUCUCUGAGGGUU
Zingiber officinale is the source of this 131-nucleotide small nucleolar RNA. RefSeq annotates it as small nucleolar RNA Z112. NCBI's taxonomy places the organism in Eukaryota, Viridiplantae, Streptophyta, Magnoliopsida, Zingiberales, Zingiberaceae. The transcript has a single exon. The record is from RefSeq and is a predicted model, not a curated record.